GUAAAAAAAAGGUUUAUAUGUCCAUUGUUUACACCCUCGUAUCUGGUAAACAUGUCGUCAUACUUCCGUUCACUCGACGAUUAUGUCUUUCAAAACACAUUUUUCGAUAAAUCCAAACGCGUCAAUGCAUCUAGUAGAGUGUUCUAAACAAAAUGAGAGUAGUUCAAGUCAUUUCUAAUAAAAACUACCCCGGCAAACUUAUAAAAUAGUGAAAGGGGGCGUGUUCUGCAGGUAGCGUUUCUUGUGCGUAUGCAAAAGUUUUUUAUAAAAAAAAUGGACAAAUGACCAAUUGAAAUCAUGUAGCGUCUAGUGACGUGUAGCUAAUGAUAUGACGGAUACACCCAUGUGCGGAUUUGCAUAAUGCUUGUAUAUUAUAGUGUUGUUAUCUGUGCGUAUACAUUAGCACUCAGAAGAGUUACGCACUCGUGCUCGUGCACAUACAGGGCUUUGAGACGUCACCUGCUUGUUAGCACUUCUUACAAUGGACUAGCAUCGAGGACAGAAGUUUUUUCUCUUUCUGCUGCCUUGGAAGAACUUAUGCGAAGCAGUGAUGAAGAAAAUGUCGAGGAUACCGAAGAAGAAAGUGUUUGCAGUGUCGAUUUGGAACAAGAGGAAAUGUUUUUACACGGUCUAGAUCGGGAUGCUGACACUUCUGAUGAAGAGUGGUUACCAGAGGCCUCUGGACCACAGACUAAUCAUUCCUGCCUUUCUAAACAUCUUCACCUGCGUUCACCUGUGCCAAGGGAAGAGGAAAGAAAAGGACACAGAUAGAAUCUCCAUCUGACUCACGCAGCACUGUAUGGUUGGUGAAAAUACAAUGCUGAAAAGAAAACUGUACUUUGAGGCAGACUGUUGACAGAUUAUUGUAAGAUAGUAUUGUGAAUGUGUGCAAAUGGCAUCACUAGAACAGGUCUGAUGGUACAUUACUCUGCUAUUCAUAAUCCUAAAGUGUGAACUUUGUUUAUGAAUAGAGCAGGCAUGAUGGUACAUUACUCUGAUAGCCAUAAUCCUAAAGUGUGAAUUUUGUGUAUGAAUAGAGCAGGCAUGAUGGUACAUUACUCUGAUAGCCAUAAUCCUAAAGUGUGAAUUUUGUGUAUGAAUACAGCAGGCAUAAUGGGACAUUACUUUGCUAUUCAUAAUCCUAAAGUGUGAAUUUUGUGUAUGAAUAGAGCAGGGAUGAUGGUACAUUACUCUGAUAGCCAUAAUCCUAAAGUGUGAAUUUUAUGUAUGAGUACAGCAGGGAUGAUGGGACAUUACACUGCUAUUCAUAAUCCUAAAGUGUGAAUUUUGUGUAUGAAUAGAGCAGGCAUGAUGGUACAUUACACUAAUAGUCAUAAUCCUAAAGUGUAAAUGCAAUACUUUGUAAAUAGUUUGUAUUUUUGACUCGUGUCACAGCACUGCCAAGCUAUGUGCAAUACUUUAUCACAGUUUGUUGAUAACUACUAUAUUGUAAACAUAUAAAAACCUAUACAUAAAUUUGUUCUUUAAUGUUGUACAUUUUCCUAAACCAUGCAAAAUUAUGUAAGUAAAUAAAGACAUUGUUUCAUUUUA
Non-coding RNA from Misgurnus anguillicaudatus (oriental weatherfish), 1551 nucleotides. The record is from RefSeq and is a predicted model, not a curated record. NCBI's taxonomy places the organism in Eukaryota, Metazoa, Chordata, Actinopteri, Cypriniformes, Cobitidae.